This 73-nucleotide transfer RNA is filed under the name Triticum urartu. It matches the Rfam family "tRNA". From Rfam's summary of the family: Transfer RNA (tRNA) molecules are approximately 80 nucleotides in length. Their secondary structure includes four short double-helical elements and three loops (D, anti-codon, and T loops). Lineage: Eukaryota; Viridiplantae; Streptophyta; Magnoliopsida; Poales; Poaceae. The record is from Rfam by way of RNAcentral.
GCCCCUAUCAUCUAGUGGUUCAGGACAUCUCUCUUUCAAGGAGGCAGCGGGGAUUCGACUUCCCCUAAGGGUA